Molecule: ribosomal RNA, 452 nt
Filed under: uncultured organism
Description: partial 16S ribosomal RNA
Rfam family: Bacterial small subunit ribosomal RNA
Source: RNAcentral
ACGUACACUCCUGCGGGAGGCAGCAGUGGGGAAUCUUGCGCAAUGGGCGAAAGCCUGACGCAGCCAUGCCGCGUGAAUGAUGAAGGUCUUAGGAUUGUAAAAUUCUUUCACCGGGGACGAUAAUGACGGUACCCGGAGAAGAAGCCCCGGCUAACUUCGUGCCAGCAGCCGCGGUAAUACGAAGGGGGCUAGCGUUGCUCGGAAUUACUGGGCGUAAAGGGAGCGUAGGCGGACAUUUAAGUCAGGGGUGAAAUCCCGGGGCUCAACCUCGGAAUUGCCUUUGAUACUGGGUGUCUUGAGUAUGAGAGAGGUGUGUGGAACUCCGAGUGUAGAGGUGAAAUUCGUAGAUAUUCGGAAGAACACCAGUGGCGAAGGCGACACACUGGCUCAUUACUGACGCUGAGGCUCGAAAGCGUGGGGAGCAAACAGGAUUAGAUACCCGGGUAGUCCCA